RNAcentral lists this ribosomal RNA (709 nucleotides) under Pseudomonas brassicacearum. RNAcentral describes it as "bacterial SSU rRNA". It matches the Rfam family "Bacterial small subunit ribosomal RNA", at positions 36 to 745 of the family's 1533-position model. Lineage: Bacteria; Pseudomonadati; Pseudomonadota; Gammaproteobacteria; Pseudomonadales; Pseudomonadaceae. The record is from RNAcentral.
GUAAUUAAGGGUACAUACCAUGCAGUCGAGCGGUAGAGAGGUGCUUGCACCUCUUGAGAGCGGCGGACGGGUGAGUAAAGCCUAGGAAUCUGCCUGGUAGUGGGGGAUAACGCUCGGAAACGGACGCUAAUACCGCAUACGUCCUACGGGAGAAAGCAGGGGACCUUCGGGCCUUGCGCUAUCAGAUGAGCCUAGGUCGGAUUAGCUAGUUGGUGAGGUAAUGGCUCACCAAGGCGACGAUCCGUAACUGGUCUGAGAGGAUGAUCAGUCACACUGGAACUGAGACACGGUCCAGACUCCUACGGGAGGCAGCAGUGGGGAAUAUUGGACAAUGGGCGAAAGCCUGAUCCAGCCAUGCCGCGUGUGUGAAGAAGGUCUUCGGAUUGUAAAGCACUUUAAGUUGGGAGGAAGGGCAUUAACCUAAUACGUUAGUGUUUUGACGUUACCGACAGAAUAAGCACCGGCUAACUCUGUGCCAGCAGCCGCGGUAAUACAGAGGGUGCAAGCGUUAAUCGGAAUUACUGGGCGUAAAGCGCGCGUAGGUGGUUCGUUAAGUUGGAUGUGAAAUCCCCGGGCUCAACCUGGGAACUGCAUUCAAAACUGUCGAGCUAGAGUAUGGUAGAGGGUGGUGGAAUUUCCUGUGUAGCGGUGAAAUGCGUAGAUAUAGGAAGGAACACCAGUGGGCGAAAGCGACCACCUGGGACUGAUA